GAUGAACGCUGGCGGCGUGCCUAAUACAUGCAAGUCGAGCGAACAGACGAGGAGCUUGCUCCUUGCUCGUGAGCGGCGGACGGGUGAGUCACACGUGUAUAACCUACCUAUCUUACUGGGAUCACUUGGGGAAACCGGCUCUUAUACCGGAUAAUCUACUGAACCGCAUGGUUCGAUAGUAAGUGUCGGUUGUUCUGUCACUUAUCGCUGGAUCUGCGCCGCAUUAGCUAGUUGGUAGGGUAACGGCUUACCAAGGCAACGAUGCGUAGCCGACCGGACAGGGUGAUCGGCGACACUGGAACUGAGACACGGACAAGAGUCCUACGGGAGGCAGCAGUAGGGAAUGUUAGGCAAUGGGCGAAAGCCUGACAGAGCAACGCCGCGUGAGUGAUGAAGGCCUUCGGAUCGUAAAACCCUCUUAUUGGGGAAGAACAAAUGUGGAAUGAAAUAAGCCCGUCGUGACGGUAACGAAUCAGAAAGCAACGGCUAACUACGUG
RNAcentral lists this ribosomal RNA (497 nucleotides) under uncultured bacterium. Its description in RNAcentral is "partial 16S ribosomal RNA". It matches the Rfam family "Bacterial small subunit ribosomal RNA", at positions 28 to 507 of the family's 1533-position model. The record is from RNAcentral.